AUUGAACGCUGGCGGCAGGCCUAACACAUGCAAGUCGAGCGGUAGAGAGAAGCUUGCUUCUCUUGAGAGCGGCGGACGGGUGAGUAAUGCCUAGGAAUCUGCCUGGUAGUGGGGGAUAACGUUCGGAAACGGACGCUAAUACCGCAUACGUCCUACGGGAGAAAGCAGGGGACCUUCGGGCCUUGCGCUAUCAGAUGAGCCUAGGUCGGAUUAGCUAGUUGGUGGGGUAAUGGCUCACCAAGGCGACGAUCCGUAACUGGUCUGAGAGGAUGAUCAGUCACACUGGAACUGAGACACGGUCCAGAGUCCGACGGGAGGCAGCAGUGGGGAAUAGUGGACAAUGGGCGAAAGCCUGAUCCAGCCAUGCCGCGUGUGUGAAGAAGGUCUUCGGAUUGUAAAGCACUUUAAGUUGGGAGGAAGGGCAGUAAAUUAAUACUUUGCUGUUUUGACGUUACCGACAGAAUAAGCACCGGCUAACUCUGUGCCAGCCGCCGCGGUAA
Molecule: ribosomal RNA, 500 nt
Filed under: uncultured bacterium
Lineage: Bacteria
Description: partial 16S ribosomal RNA
Rfam family: Bacterial small subunit ribosomal RNA
Source: RNAcentral